Molecule: ribosomal RNA, 301 nt
Filed under: uncultured bacterium
Lineage: Bacteria
Description: bacterial SSU rRNA
Rfam family: Bacterial small subunit ribosomal RNA
Source: RNAcentral
GCCUACGGGGCGCAGCAGUGAGGAAUAUUGGUCAAUGGGCGGGAGCCUGAACCAGCCAAGCCGCGUGAAGGAAGAAGGCGCCAAGCGUCGUAAACUUUUUUUGUCGGGGAACAAAGGGCGCCACGUGUGGCGUUGUGAGUGUACCCGAAGAAAAAGCAUCGGCUAACUCCGUGCCAGCAGCCGCGGUAAUACGGAGGAUGCGAGCGUUAUCCGGAUUUAUUGGGUUUAAAGGGUGCGUAGGCGGACUGUCAAGUCAGCGGUAAAAUACGGGGGCUCAACCUCCGCCCGCCGUUGAAACUGA